This 293-nucleotide ribosomal RNA is filed under the name uncultured bacterium. RNAcentral describes it as "partial 16S ribosomal RNA". The stretch from base 35 to 286 matches the Rfam family "Bacterial small subunit ribosomal RNA", at positions 102 to 347 of the family's 1533-position model. The record is from RNAcentral.
CGGGUUCGGCCGCCUCCGCCGGCCGACCGGCGCGACGGGUGAGUAACGACGUAUCGACACCGUCGCCGCGGACGGGGGACAACCCGGGGAAACCCGGACUAAUACCCGGCGGGGCCUGGAGGGGGCAUCCCCUCCCGGCUGAAGGAGGCGACUCCGCCGCGGGAUGGGCAUGCGGCGCAUUAGCUUGUUGGCGGGGCAACGGCCCACCAAGGCGACGAUGCGUAGGGGUUCUGAGAGGAAGGUCCCCCACACUGGAACUGAGACACGGUCCAGACUCCUACGGAAGGCAGCAG